AACACAUGCAAGUCGAACGCGAAAGGGGGCAACCCCGAGUAGAGUGGCGCACGGGUGAGUAACACGUGGGUAACCUACCCAGGAGAUUGGGAUAACCAGGGGAAACUCUGGCUAAUACCGGAUAAGCCUCGAGUGACUUCGGUCGCUUUGGGGAAAGGAUGGCCUCUGCUUGCAAGCUAUCGCUCUUGGAUGGGCCCGCGGCCCAUUAGCUAGUUGGUGAGGUAACGGCUCACCAAGGCAAUGAUGGGUAGCUGGUCUGAGAGGAUGAUCAGCCACACUGGGACUGGAACACGGCCCAGACUCCUACGGGAGGCAGCAGUGGGGAAUUUUGCGCAAUGGGAGCAAUCCUGACGCAGCAACGCCGCGUGGGUGAUGAAGGCCCUCGGGUCGUAAAGCCCUGUCGGGUGGGAAGAAUCCCUCGACGGUGAAUAAUCGGCGAGGAUGACGGUACCACUAGAGGAAGCACCGGCUAACUCUGUGCCAGCAGCCGCGGUAAUACAGAGGGUGCAAGCGUUGUUCGGAAUCACUGGGCGUAAAGCGCGUGUAGGCGGCUCGUUGUGUCGAAUGUGAAAGCCCUCGGCUUAACCGAGGAAGUGCGUUCGAAACUGACGAGCUUGAGUACCGGAGAGGAAGGUGGAAUUCCCGGUGUAGAGGUGAAAUUCGUAGAUAUCGGGAGGAACACCAGUGGCGAAAGCGACCUUCUGGACGGAUACUGACGCUGAGACGCGAAAGCGUGGGGAGCAAACAGGAUUAGAUACCCUGGUAGUCCACGCCGUAAACGGUGGGCACUAGGUGUGGCGGGUGUUGACCCCCGCCGUGCCGAAGCUAACGCAUUAAGUGCCCCGCCUGGGGA
RNAcentral lists this ribosomal RNA (853 nucleotides) under uncultured bacterium. RNAcentral describes it as "bacterial SSU rRNA". It matches the Rfam family "Bacterial small subunit ribosomal RNA", at positions 50 to 879 of the family's 1533-position model. The record is from RNAcentral.